GACGAACGCUGGCGGCGUGCUUAACACAUGCAAGUCGAACGGAAAGGCCCUGCUUGCAGGGUACUCGAGUGGCGAACGGGUGAGUAACACGUGGGUGAUCUGCCCUGCACUUCGGGAUAAGCCUGGGAAACUGGGUCUAAUACCGGAUAGGAGCCAUUUUUAGUGUGAUGGUUGGAAAGUUUUUUCGGUGUAGGAUGAGCUCGCGGCCUAUCAGCUUGUUGGUGGGGUAAUGGCCUACCAAGGCGGCGACGGGUAGCCGGCCUGAGAGGGUGGACGGCCACAGUGGGACUGAGAUACGGCCCAGACUCCGACGGGAGGCAGCAGUGGGGAAUAGUGCACAAUGGGCGCAAGCCUGAUGCAGCGACGCCGCGUGGGGGAUGACGGCCUUCGGGUUGUAAACUCCUUUCGCUAGGGACGAAGCUUUUUGUGACGGUACCUAGAGAAGAAGCACCGGCUAACUACGUG
This 465-nucleotide ribosomal RNA is filed under the name uncultured bacterium. RNAcentral's name for it is "partial 16S ribosomal RNA". It matches the Rfam family "Bacterial small subunit ribosomal RNA", at positions 28 to 507 of the family's 1533-position model. The record is from RNAcentral.